RNAcentral lists this ribosomal RNA (492 nucleotides) under uncultured bacterium. RNAcentral describes it as "partial 16S ribosomal RNA". It matches the Rfam family "Bacterial small subunit ribosomal RNA", at positions 29 to 507 of the family's 1533-position model. The record is from RNAcentral.
AGUGAACGCUGGCGGUAGGCCUAACACAUGCAAGUCGAACGGCAGCACAGUAAGAGCUUGCUCUUACGGGUGGCGAGUGGCGGACGGGUGAGGAAUACAUCGGAAUCUACUUUUUCGUGGGGGAUAACGUAGGGAAACUUACGCUAAUACCGCAUACGACCUACGGGUGAAAGCAGGGGAUCUUCGGACCUUGCGCGAUUGAAUGAGCCGAUGUCGGAUUAGCUAGUUGGCGGGGUAAAGGCCCACCAAGGCGACGAUCCGUAGCUGGUCUGAGAGGAGGACCAGCCAGAAGGGGACUGAGAAACGGGCCCGACUCCUACGGGAGGCAGCAGUGGGGAAUUUUGGACAAUGGGCGAAAGCUGGAUCCAGCAAUGCCGCGUGGGUGAAGAAGGCCUUCGGGUGGUAAAGCACUUUGGUCCGGAAAGAAAUCUUUGGCUCUAAUACAGUCGGGGGAUGACGGUACCGGAAGAAUAAGCACCGGCUAACUACGUG